UACGGAGGGAGCUAGCGUUGUUGGGAAUUACUGGGCGUAAAGCGCACGUAGGCGGCUAUUCAAGUCAGAGGUGAAAGCCCGGGGCUCAACCCCGGAACUGCCUUUGAAACUAGAUAGCUAGAAUCUUGGAGAGGUCAGUGGAAUUCCGAGUGUAGAGGUGAAAUUCGUAGAUAUUCGGAAGAACACCAGUGGCGAAGGCGACUGACUGGACAAGUAUUGACGCUGAGGUGCGAAAGCGUGGGGAGCAAACAGG
RNAcentral lists this ribosomal RNA (253 nucleotides) under uncultured bacterium. Its description in RNAcentral is "partial 16S ribosomal RNA". It matches the Rfam family "Bacterial small subunit ribosomal RNA", at positions 524 to 776 of the family's 1533-position model. The record is from RNAcentral.